RNAcentral lists this microRNA precursor (138 nucleotides) under Mus caroli (Ryukyu mouse). RNAcentral's name for it is "miRNA (MGP_CAROLIEiJ_G0007017.1)". Lineage: Eukaryota; Metazoa; Chordata; Mammalia; Rodentia; Muridae. The record is from RNAcentral.
AGGAUGGAAUUUCAGUCUUAUUACAUCUGAUUGAGGGUCUAAAGAAAAGUUAGGUUCACCAGCAAUCACGUCUUUGGCAUUCUGUCCAUCUCACCCACAGCCUUCCCUCUACACUUGGCCUGAGCUGAAGAAGAGGUG